AGUGAACGCUGGCGGUAGGCCUAACACAUGCCAGUCGAACGGCAGCACAGUAAGAGCUUGCUCUUACGGGUGGCGAGUGGCGGACGGGUGAGGAAUACAUCGGAAUCUACUUUUUCGUGGGGGAUAACGUAGGGAAACUUACGCUAAUACCGCAUACGACCUACGGGUGAAAGCAGGGGAUCUUCGGACCUUGCGCGAUUGAAUGAGCCGAUGUCGGAUUAGCUAGUUGGCGGGGUAAAGGCCCACCAAGGCGACGAUCCGUAGCUGGUCUGAGAGGAUGGUCGGGAGCACUGGAAGGGAGACGCGGACGGGACGCAUACGGGAGGCAGCAGUAGGGAAUGGGAGGCAAUGGGCGAAAGGCUGAAGGAGCGAUGCGGCGUGAGAGAUGAAGACCUUGGGAUCGUAAAACUCUGUUGUUAGGGAAGAAAAAAUGUGUAAGGAGCUAUGGACGUCUUGACGGUACGUAAGAAAUAAGCAACGGCGAACUAAGUG
This 492-nucleotide ribosomal RNA is filed under the name uncultured bacterium. RNAcentral's name for it is "partial 16S ribosomal RNA". It matches the Rfam family "Bacterial small subunit ribosomal RNA", at positions 30 to 507 of the family's 1533-position model. The record is from RNAcentral.